AUUCUCCAUUGUGACCAACUCAUAUACUGCUGUGACUGCACGCUGAUAACAUUUGUUUGUUUUGGUAACCAAGUGCAAUGGAAUCCAGUGCGAGCAUCGAUUCGACCAUUAGAGGGCACCUGCGGGCUGGUUAGAACUUCCAUAGAAAGCUUUCAUACUCCUGGUUUCUUCAGAGCAGAGCACUUCACACAAAUUCUAAAUAUGACCACCACAAAAAGCGUAUGAUUUCCCUUUUGAUGCAAGAUUUACUGGUCAUUUACUGGUUUAAUUUAUUCAAAACACUAAGGGGGUUCCAUUAAAAUGCUAAAUAAUAUCCUAAUGAGACAUUAUCUGGCUUAUUUGUUCCUACAAUUGAAGUUGGAAACAUUACACACAGUUUUCCCUGCACUAAACAAGUCUGCUCUCUUUCCCCACAUUUGAAUACCCUGUAAUAUAUCUCCUUAUGUAAGAUAACACGUGAUUCUGGUAAGAAGCUUUCUCAUGGGUGAAUUGUAUGGGGUGCACUGGAGCAAUUUUAUAGAUUAAUACCCUUUAAAUGUAUAUCAUCUAUAUUUUGUUCUCUUUGAGGCUGAGUUCAAGCUCAUUGACUCUGAUCAGUGGGCUUGGGGAUUUUGGACCAUGAUCCACCAGAAUAUUUCAUUCAUUUGGCAGCACUGUAUUUAUGAGUGGCAGACAGGGAGGCACAGGAGUGUCCCCCCUAACUUGUGUGUCAUUUAUAAUUGCUAGUUAGCAGGUGCAUUCCAUAUAACAGACUUACGAUUUCUUUAGUAAUUCUGAUGUUUACACACCUUCAAAAGAUGCAGAAAAUAGAGAAUAACAAUAGAAUAACAACUGAAAAAUAAAACCCCUGAAAAUUCCCCUCUUACUGCUAGCACAUCUCCAUGACUGUGUGGUAAUUUCCUAAAAUGUUUUGCAACAUAUUUCCUGCUACCAGCACUUUUCUGUGUAUUAUGCCCAACUUCUGCUUGUGUGAGGGAACAAAAGCUGCUUUUCAGGUCUUUCCUGCAAUGUUGCUUUAGAGCUGUUCAUGAAAAAUAAACCGGGUCUGUGGUCACACAGUGUAUAAGAACUUU
This is a long non-coding RNA of Xenopus tropicalis (tropical clawed frog), 1073 nucleotides long. RefSeq lists it as uncharacterized. The record is from RefSeq and is a predicted model, not a curated record. The transcript is spliced from 2 exons. Lineage: Eukaryota; Metazoa; Chordata; Amphibia; Anura; Pipidae.